Molecule: ribosomal RNA, 135 nt
Filed under: uncultured bacterium
Lineage: Bacteria
Description: partial 16S ribosomal RNA
Rfam family: Bacterial small subunit ribosomal RNA
Source: RNAcentral
UGGGGAAUAUUGGGCAAUGGAGGAAACUCUGACCCAGCGACGCCGCGUGAGGGAUGAAGGCCUUCGGGUUGUAAAGCUCUUUUGUAGGGGAAGAUAAUGACUGUACCCUAAGAAUAAGGUCCGGCUAACUUCGUG